CGGGUACCCUAAGAAGCAAGAAACAUUUUCUCGGAUAUCAGGAUACUGUGAGCAAACUGAUAUCCACUCUCCCCAUGUUACUGUCUAUGAAUCUCUUGUUUAUUCUGCAUGGCUCCGGUUACCCCCCGAGGUUGAUACUUCUACAAGAAAGGUAAAGUUUGUCAAUUUUGUGUUUCUCUUUUACUUUGUAGAUAAAAUCAGAGUAUAUUAACAAGACAUGCAACACACACCACUAAUUUCAGAUGUUCAUUGAGGAAGUUAUGGAGCUGAUAGAGCUGACUUCAAUAAGAGAAGCGCUUGUUGGAUUACCUGGUGUGAAUGGUCUGUCCACAGAACAGCGCAAGAGGUUAACGAUUGCAGUUGAACUUGUUGCCAAUCCAUCUAUUAUAUUCAUGGAUGAACCUACCUCUGGCCUUGAUGCAAGAGC
This 427-nucleotide long non-coding RNA is filed under the name Medicago truncatula (barrel medic). RNAcentral's name for it is "long non-coding RNA (MTRU_LNC001222)". Lineage: Eukaryota; Viridiplantae; Streptophyta; Magnoliopsida; Fabales; Fabaceae. The record is from RNAcentral.